CUCAACCAGCCAAAAAAGAAAUAGGCAAGAAAGUGGAGACUUCUGGGUGACCUGAGGCAGAUGCAGCUGGACUGAAGAAACGCCCAUCCAGGGUUUCCUUCCAGUAAACUGAGAGCUCCGAAAGAGGUGAGCACUUUCCACCUCUCCCUGUCUCUGUGUCAUGUGACCAGAGCCUCUGCCCAACCAGCCAUACCCUCUGGCAGGCUUUCCUUUGUCCACAGGUGCUGUCAGGGAGGUGGUCUGGGUCCUAGCCUAAUUUUUGCCAUAAUUCUACAUCCAGUAUCUUCAGAGCACUGAAGGAGGUGCAGGAAGUGCAGAAAAUGCAGAAAACAAAGGAAAUGCAGUGGGGAGGGGCCUGGCUUCUGCACAUUGCAUUCACUGCUGUCUCCCCAAGGAAAGCUGUGAGAGCUGGACUGGAGAUUGGACGCAUCUGGAAGGAAAAGGAUUCUUCAGCACAAGGGGGAAUAACUCUCAAAACCGACAGGAAUGUAUGAUGGCUCUCUCCUUAAAGCCAGAAACAAAAGAAAGAUGACUGUUAUCAAUACUCUGUUCUUGAAAGUUCUCUAUCAAUCAGCUAAGAAAGUGAAAGAAGUGUGAUCGUGAAGAAGUAGGAAAAAGUACCAAGACUUGCUGACAGAGGGACAUAAAAAUCCACUUGAAUAAUUAAAGAGAUAUACAUAGGCAAUGGAACAGUUAUUGCCAAGAUAAUCAAUUCUCCCAAAACUAAUUUACAAAUUGAAUGUGAUUUUAAUGAAAACACAAGAUUAUUUUUUGAACUUGCGAAAUAGACCCUAAGUUCAUCUGAAAGAAUAAGUGCCCAAAGAGAGCCAAGAAAUUUUUGAGGAAACAGAAAUAAUAUCAGUGUGUCUGGAGGUGGUUCCUUCUGGUGGGUUUGUGGUCUUGCUGACUUCAAGAAUGAAGCCAUGGACCUUUGCGGUGAGUGUUACAGCUCUUAAAGGUGGCACGGACCCAAAGAGUGUGUAGCAGCAAGAUUUAUUGUGAAAAGCGAAAGAACAAAGCUUCCACAGCAUGGAAGGGGACCCGACCAGGUUGCAGCUGUUGGCUGGGGGUGGUCAGCUUUUCUUUCCUUAUGUGUCCCUGCCCAUGUCCUGCUGAUUGGUCCAUUUUACAGAGUGCUGAUUGGUCCAUUUUACAGAGUGCUGAUUGGUCCAUUUUACAGAGUGCUGAUUGGUCCAUUUUACAAACCUCUAGCUAGCUAUAGAGCACUGAUUGGUGCAUUUUUACAGAGCACUGAUUGGUGCAUUUUACAAACCUCUAGUGAGCUACAGAGCGCCAACUGCUGCGUUUUUACAGAGCACUGAUUGGUGCAUUUUACAAGCCUCUGGUAAGACAGAAAAGUUCUCCAAGUCCCCAUUCGACCCAGGAAGUCCAGCUGGCUUCACCUCUCACCAGUACUUGUGUUACAAAUACUGAUUCAAAGCUACAAUAAUUUGAUUAUGGUUCAGGAAUAGGCAGAUAAACAGAAAAGAAA
This 1492-nucleotide long non-coding RNA is filed under the name Homo sapiens (human). RNAcentral's name for it is "HSALNT0223357". Lineage: Eukaryota; Metazoa; Chordata; Mammalia; Primates; Hominidae. The record is from RNAcentral.